AGAGAGAAAAAGGCGAGCGAGAGAGACUUAACGCGUGAGUUCCGUCGACCGGCGCGUGGUGGCUCGUUCAGCACCGCCGCCGGUCACAAUCUCGGUAUUUCUUCCUCUGUGUGGUUCUAGUUUGGUUUGUGACUGUGACUGUGACUCAAUUUUGAGAGAUGUGCUUCAAUCAAAUCAAUGAAACCCUAGAUCUGUUGUAGAUUUUUGAUAAAAGCUCCGGAUCUGAUGAUUCACGGUGUGGUUUAGUCACAAGGCUUUUGUUUAGAAAUCUGUGCUUGGAUUUGGUGAAUUUUGUUGUGUUGCAUAUCUCUGGAUUUCUUGUGUGGCUCUCUCCUUUUCAGUUUUAAUCUAAGUGGGUGGAGUUUGUCGUGGAUUCCUCUGAUCCGUCUUUAUGCCAUUCGUGGUCUGUGCUCUUGGUGCUCCGGAUUAGGUGGGCUUGGCUCCUAGUUGCUGGUUCAGAUCUUGUGGAGAUUUGAUUUUGGUGUGGCUUCAUUACUUGGCGUUUCUCAGUCUUGUACGACUCAUCUGUUUCCGGAGGUUGAUUGAAUCUGAAGGUUCUCCCUUACCGGUUUGUGAAGCUUGUGUUACUUGGUUCUUGAGGUGUAUCCUCGUUGUACUAGGAGGGAGUGGUUUUACGGUGGUUUGGCCAGGGGCAUUCCCGUUUAACA
RNAcentral lists this long non-coding RNA (668 nucleotides) under Brassica rapa (field mustard). Its description in RNAcentral is "long non-coding RNA (BRAP_LNC002365)". Lineage: Eukaryota; Viridiplantae; Streptophyta; Magnoliopsida; Brassicales; Brassicaceae. The record is from RNAcentral.